Molecule: non-coding RNA, 1707 nt
Organism: Podarcis lilfordi (Lilford's wall lizard)
Lineage: Eukaryota; Metazoa; Chordata; Lepidosauria; Squamata; Lacertidae
Source: the annotation of a GenBank genome assembly
CACCCCCCUUACUCCGCCCCUGGUUGCAGGUGGUGUGGCUGGGGGCCCCCCCAGUCAAGUACAGUGGUACCUUGGGUUAAGAACUUAAUGCGUUCUGGAGCUCCAUUCUUAACAUCAAACUGUUCUUAACCUGAAGCACCACUUUAGCUCAUAGGGCCUCCCACUGCCGCUGUGCCACCGCUGCACGAUUUCUGAUCUCAUCCUGAGGUAAAGUUCUUAACCCGAGGUAAUAUUUCUGGGUUAGCGGAGUCUGUAACCUGAAGCGUAUGCAACCUGAAGCAUAUGUAACCCGAGGUACCACUGUAAAUAAAAAUAUUUAACUGACCAAUUGUGUCACAGGUGACUCAAUUCUGCCUCCCACCGGCUGCUGUUUGUCCUCUUUUUCCAGGACACAUCCUCUUUUUCAGGGGUAACAUUUUUAAAAUUUGCCAUAAUGUCUCUGGCUAUACUUUCUGGAUGAGUCCCAGACAAGACUGGUGAGUGAAGACUUGCUUUCCCCAUCUUUUCUCUUCUCCUGCCCCCUCCCCCAGCAAUAUAUCACAGCUUCUAUAGCCUACAUAUAGUAGGAGUAUUUAAAAUGAGAAUUGUCUUGGCGUCCUCUUUUUUGCUCUUUGAAAUAUGGCAACCCUAACUUGCCCCCCCUAAAAUAAAUCCUGGCUACACCCAUGGCAGGUGGUCAUAGCAACAGUGCCAAUUUGUUGAUAUAAUCAAGGAACAAUUACCAUGUACUUAGAAAUCUAUCCUUUUUACCCUGCCCAUUUAUCAUCACGCUGCUGUGUUGAUUCAAACUCCCAGAUUGUGCCAUGUCCCAUACCUGGGUAAAACCAAGUUCGUAAAGUGAGGGCCUCCCCCCAUUACCCACCUGACAGUUACCGGUAUUUCCAUUCUGGCAGUGGCUGUCAAAAGAGACCAUGGUCAAAGAAGGAAUAUUGGGGUUGAAAUCCACCCCCCCCCAAAGAACCAAAAAAUGCAAGCCAUGGAUCCCUGUUUAGUUUAUAACCAAUUAUGUUGAUGUCAGGAUUUGUUUGUUUGUUUGUUUGUUUUGCCAAAAUGGUACACAAAUGUUUUUGCACUAUUUUUUCGCUACCAGGAUGGGGCUUUACAAACCAUUGGAACAAUGGAGAGACAAGUAACCAAUUAUUUUUGUUUCCUCUUCUUGGCAGGCCUAUUCACACAACAUGUGCAUGGUUGGUCCUUAAUGCAGGAACCAGGAAGCUGUGACCCUCCAGACGCUGGAAGCCAUUGGAAGCAUGGUAAAAGUCCAGUCUGUGGUGUCCAUUCACAGGUGAAACUUAUUGCUGGGCAUUGCAGUGAUCUGGUGAUGAAUAUUUGUGUGUGUACCAGCCCUGAAAGCAAACUACAAAACUAAGUACAUUUUUCUGCACUAGUUAUUUCUGAAACGGUCUUCAAGGACCGCCCCACUUACAGUGCAUGGCAGUAAUCCCACUCUGGAGGUUACCAGAGCAUGGGUAACUGGGCAAGACGAUCCUGGUUCAGGAACAGCAAUGGCUGGCAAGAAGCGCUCUUGGGUCUUUUUACACAAGCACAAACCCAGGUUUCAGCAGGUGUGCCUUCAAGAGGGAGCUGCAAGCUACAAGUGUAACUUACAACAAAUGCCAAACAGAAAUCCAACAGGUGAAGCUUUCACCAGAAUGCAAAGGUGGUGACCGAGGUGGGGAAGUUUUGCUUACUGUUUAACAAGUAGGA